RNAcentral lists this ribosomal RNA (253 nucleotides) under uncultured bacterium. RNAcentral describes it as "partial 16S ribosomal RNA". It matches the Rfam family "Bacterial small subunit ribosomal RNA", at positions 524 to 776 of the family's 1533-position model. The record is from RNAcentral.
UACGUAGGGGGCUAGCGUUGUCCGGAUUUAUUGGGCGUAAAGGGCGCGUAGGCGGUGCGGUAAGUCACCUGUGAAACCUCUAGGCUUAACCUAGAGCCUGCAGGCGAAACUGCCGUGCUGGAGUGUGGGAGAGGUGCGUGGAAUUCCCGGUGUAGCGGUGAAAUGUGUAGAGAUCGGGAGGAACACCGGUGGCGAAGGCGGGUCUCUGGGCAAUUCCUGACGCUGAGGCGCGAAAGCGUGGGGAGCAAACGGG